Molecule: RNA transcript, 1740 nt
Organism: Teleopsis dalmanni
Lineage: Eukaryota; Metazoa; Arthropoda; Insecta; Diptera; Diopsidae
Gene name: zinc finger protein 436-like
Exons: 3
Source: RefSeq, a predicted model, not a curated record
UGACUUUGACACUCCGAAGAGUGAAGCUUGUCAAUUUUGUACCUAAAUUGGUUGCAAUAAUAUUUUAAGUCAUAUAUUUUGUUAAUAUUUAGAAAAUAAAAUAUAAAAUUGCAGACAUUUCAUAUAUUUUUUAUUCGAAAUGAGUACGGGAAAAGAAUUCGUGGUUUGCCGUACGUGUCUAACUCAGUGCAGUGACGAUUAUAAAUCAAUACAUAAACAAGGCAUCAUAUUGGGUGAAAUUACAACAUUAAUAGAAAUAUUAAGAUUUUGCACCGAUAUAGAGUACCUCGCUGAUGACCCAUCUUUCCCAACACAUAUAUGUAAACUGUGUUUGCAAAAUUUAGUGAGAUCGUAUUCCUUCAAAAAACUAGCAAUUGAAACAAAUGAAGCUCUACAUAAUCAAAAACAACAGCUUGCUUGCAGUGAAGAUCCACAUUCAAUGAGUGAGUAUGUGUUUGAAGAGCAACAGUACCUUGAGGAAAACGGUGAGGCAGAAGAACUACAAGAAUUAGCAAAUGCUGCACAAAUGAGACAAUCCAUAGAAAACGUGAAUGAUGCCAGUUAUGUUACCUUGUCAGUCUUGCACAACUCUGAAGAUGAAGAAGAACCAAUGGAGUUCAAAAUUCAACGUGGCGAAAUAAUCGAUGAUGGAGACGUGUAUUUGCAAGAAAUUAUAGAACGCCAUGAUGGCAACACGGAAAAUGAAGAAGAAUACAUGAUCCAGUCAGCCGAUGAUAAUAUGUCUGAGGAGGCUUUCGAACCAACAUAUGAUGAUGAUACUAUGUCGACUGAAAAUAACGAAACCGAUGAUACAAGUAGAAAAAUACGAAAAAUACUAAGAUCGGAUAAUAAAAUAUCAAGUGAUGCUAACAACGACAAUGGUACAUUGGUCAGAAAAAGAAUUAAACGUGCUCAUGGUCAAUCAAGUGAUCCGCUUUUCAAGUGCAAGAUUUGCAAAAAACAGUUAAGCAAUGCGAAUUCGUUCAAGUACCACAUGCAAUUGCAUUCGGAUCAGACUCCCUAUUUAUGUAGUAUGUGCGGUGCAGGCUUUAAGACACGAAACGCUUAUGAUGGACAUUUAAUCACACAUAACCCCAAUAAUCCAAACACUUGUAAGAUAUGCGGAAAAGCAUAUCGCCAAUCGUCGUCCCUACGCACACAUAUGAUGUCGCAUACAGGUGAAAAACCUUUUCAAUGCAACAUAUGCGGCAAGGGAAUGACACAAAAAUCUGGUUACAAGAAGCAUAUGUUAACACAUACAGGCGAAAAGCCACAUGCCUGUGAUGUGUGUGGUCGAGAAUUCCGAUAUUCCAGCAAUUUAUUUGCACACAAACGUUGUCACACGGGCGAGAAACCUUUUGAAUGUGACAAUUGUGAGAAAUGUUUCCAAACAGCAGAACAAAGAAAACGACACUUACUAGUUCAUACAGGUGAGAGGCCAUUUAGUUGUGAUAUAUGUGGCAAAUCAUUCAAACGUCGCACCUCACUCAUGACACACAAACAAAGCCACGAAGACGAAAGUGAAGAGCAAACUGCGUACAUAGAGCAAAGAGUUUAUAGAUCAAACGCUGUAGAAGUUCUUUAAAAAACUAAAUAAAUUUUAUUUAGAAUUAAAGUAAAGGUAAUUAUAGUGUAAGUGUUCAGAGUUUUAUCGCUUGGAUUUCGUAGAUAAGACAGCAACUUACUAAUAUUUUUUAAUUUUAGACUUUUUGACAUUUACUUUAAGACUUUUUAUGUUAG